CGCCGCGUGCGGUGCGUGCCAGGCUGGAACCUACCUGAACAUGACGGCAGGGUCGGCGUGUGUGACGUGCCCAGCGAACCACGUCUCCGGACAGGCG
Molecule: non-coding RNA, 97 nt
Filed under: Rhodomonas lens
Lineage: Eukaryota; Cryptophyceae; Pyrenomonadales; Pyrenomonadaceae
Source: RNAcentral